RNAcentral lists this long non-coding RNA (1128 nucleotides) under Macaca mulatta (Rhesus monkey). RNAcentral describes it as "lncRNA (ENSMMUG00000052323.1)". Lineage: Eukaryota; Metazoa; Chordata; Mammalia; Primates; Cercopithecidae. The record is from RNAcentral.
UUUUUUUUUUUUUCUUUUUUUUGAAACAGUCUCACUCUGCAGCCCAGGCUGGAGCACAUGGCGUGAUCUUGGCUCACUGCAACCUCCGCCUUCUGGGUUCAAGUGAUUCUUCUGCCUUAGCCUCCCGAGUAGCUGGGAUUACAGGCACCCGCCACCACGCCCGGCCAAUUUUUGUAUUUUUAGUAGAGACGGGGUUUCACCAUGUUGGCUAGGCUCGUCUCGAACUCCUGACUUCAUGAUUCGCCUGCCUCGGCCUCCCAAAGUGGCUCAUGGCGUGAGCCACUGUGCCCUGCCGCAAGUGGAUCAUUUGAGGUCAGGAGUUUGAGACAAGCCUGGCCAACAUGGUGAACCCCAUCUCUACUAAAAAUACAAAAGUUGUCCAGGUAUGAUAGCGGGUGCCUGUAUCCCAGCUACUCGGGAGGCUGAGGCAGGAGAAUCACUUGAACCUGGGAGGCAGAGUUUGCAGUGAGUUGAGAAUGCACCAUUGCACUCCAGCCUGGGUGACAGAGCAAGACUGCGUCUCAAAACAAACUAAACAAACAACAACAACAAAAAUGAUGACUAACAUUCCUUAAGGUUUUACCACAUGCCAGAUACAGUACCAGCACCAAGCUGGUACUUAGAUGCAUUAUCUCGGUCAAUUUUUUUCAACAGCACUAUAAGUAACAGCUUUAAAAGCUCUGUUACUUUCCUCAUUUUACAAAUGAAGAAACUGAGAUUCCAAGAGAUUAAGUAACUUCCUCAGGAUCACAUGGCUUAUAAACUGUGGAGCAGGAUGGCUCCCAGGUUUGUCUUUGACUCCAAAGUCGCUGCUCUUAAUGAUUAAGGCACACAAGGGAAUCGCAAGCACUCUGAUAAAACUCCUGUGAAAGGAGCCCGAACCUGGCUAUGACUUGGUUGGAACUGAGGCACAGGUACGAUAGGACAUGGAGACAGGCCACAAUCAUACAUUCCAGUCCCCUCCACAAAACCACAGAGCUUGGAUGACAUGGACCCAGAUUUCCCUAGGACAGAACUUGAACCCUGUAUACAAUUCAGGUUCGUCUAUAGAGAGUUGUGCUGGGAAGGGCAGAUUAUAGGGGAUAACAUACGGGCCCAGGGAGGAAAAUCACCCACUGUAAGUGAGGA